RNAcentral lists this ribosomal RNA (303 nucleotides) under uncultured Fusobacterium sp. RNAcentral describes it as "bacterial SSU rRNA". It matches the Rfam family "Bacterial small subunit ribosomal RNA", at positions 1212 to 1513 of the family's 1533-position model. Lineage: Bacteria; Fusobacteriati; Fusobacteriota; Fusobacteriia; Fusobacteriales; Fusobacteriaceae. The record is from RNAcentral.
GGCUACACACGUGCUACAAUGGGUAGUACAGAGAGUCGCAAAGCCGCGAGGUGGAGCUAAUCUCAGAAAACUAUUCUUAGUUCGGAUUGUACUCUGCAACUCGAGUACAUGAAGUUGGAAUCGCUAGUAAUCGCGAAUCAGCAAUGUCGCGGUGAAUACGUUCUCGGGUCCUGUACACACCGCCCGUCACACCACGAGAGUUGGUUGCACCUGAAGUAGCAGGCCUAACCGUAAGGAGGGAUGCUCCGAGGGUGUGAUUAGCGAUUGGGGUGAAGUCGUAACAAGGUAUCCGUACGGGAACGU